AACGGCAUAGCUGGGUAGCUAUGUGUGGACGGGAUAAGUGCUGAAAGCAUCUAAGCAUGAAGCCCCCCUCAAGAUGAGAUUUCCCAACUUCGGUUAUAAGAUCCCUCAAAGAUGAUGAGGUUAAUAGGUUCGAGGUGGAAGCAUGGUGACAUGUGGAGCUGACGAAUACUAAUCGAUCGAAGACUUAAUCAA
Molecule: ribosomal RNA, 192 nt
Filed under: Staphylococcus aureus
Lineage: Bacteria; Bacillati; Bacillota; Bacilli; Caryophanales; Staphylococcaceae
Also listed under: 1 other name
Description: partial 23S ribosomal RNA
Rfam family: Bacterial large subunit ribosomal RNA
Source: RNAcentral